This 399-nucleotide ribosomal RNA is filed under the name uncultured bacterium. RNAcentral describes it as "bacterial SSU rRNA". It matches the Rfam family "Bacterial small subunit ribosomal RNA", at positions 28 to 428 of the family's 1533-position model. The record is from RNAcentral.
GACGAACGCUGGCGGCGUGCUUAACACAUGCAAGUCGAGCGGUAAGGCCCUUUCGGGGGUACGACGAGCGGCGAACGGGUGAGUAACACGUGGGUGACCUGCCCUCAGCUCUGGGAUAAGCCUGGGAAACGUGGGUCUAAUACCGGAUAUGACUCCAUGACGCAUGUUGUGGGGUGGAAAGCCUUGUGCGGCUGAGGAUGGGCCCGCGGCCUAUCAGCUUGUUGGUGGGGUGANGGCCUACCAAGGCGACGACGGGUAGCCGGCCUGAGAGGGCGACCGGCCACACUGGGACUGAGACACGGCCCAGACUCCUACGGGAGGCAGCAGUGGGGAAUCUUGCGCAAUGGGCGAAAGCCUGACGCAGCGACGCCGCGUGAGGGAUGACGGCCUCGGUUGUAA